GAUGAACGCUGGCGGCGUGCCUAAUACAUGCAAGUCGAGCGAACAGACGAGGAGCUUGCUCCUCUGACGUUAGCGGCGGACGGGUGAGUAACACGUGGAUAACCUACCUAUAAGACUGGGAUAACUUCGGGAAACCGGAGCUAAUACCGGAUAAUAUAUUGAACCGCAUGGUUCAAUAGUGAAAGACGGUUUUGCUGUCACUUAUAGAUGGAUCCGCGCCGCAUUAGCUAGUUGGUAAGGUAACGGCUUACCAAGGCAACGAUGCGUAGCCGACCUGAGAGGGUGAUCGGCCACACUGGAACUGAGACACGGUCCAGACUCCUACGGGAGGCAGCAGUAGGGAAUCUUCCGCAAUGGGCGAAAGCCUGACGGAGAAACGCCGCGUGAGUGAUGAAGGUCUUCGGAUCGUAAAACUCUGUUAUUAGGGAAGAACAAAUGUGUAAGUAACUAUGCACGUCUGGACGGUACCUAAGCAGAAAGCCACGGCUAACUACGU
This 496-nucleotide ribosomal RNA is filed under the name uncultured bacterium. Its description in RNAcentral is "partial 16S ribosomal RNA". It matches the Rfam family "Bacterial small subunit ribosomal RNA", at positions 28 to 506 of the family's 1533-position model. The record is from RNAcentral.